CCUACGGGAGGCAGCAGUAGGGAAUAUUGCGCAAUGGCCGCAAGGCUGACGCAGCGACGCCGCGUGUGGGAGGGAGCCCUUCGGGGUGUAAACCACUGUCAGGGGGGAAGAACUUCGUGGACGCGAACAGCGUUCACGGUUGACGGUACCCCCAGAGGAAGCGCCGGCUAACUCCGUGCCAGCAGCCGCGGUAAUACGGAGGGCGCAAGCGUUGUUCGGAAUCACUGGGCGUAAAGCGCUCGCAGGCGGUCCCUUAAGUCCGCCGUGAAACUCCGGGGCUCAACCCCGGACUGGCGACGGAUACUGGGGGACUGGAGACUGGUAGAGGCUAGCGGAAUUCUUGGUGUAGCGGUGGAAUGCGUAGAUAUCAGGAAGAACACCGGUGGCGAAGGCGGCUAGCUGGGCCAGUUCUGACGCUCAUGAGCGAAAGCGUGGGGAGCAAACAGGGUUAGAUACCCUGG
RNAcentral lists this ribosomal RNA (461 nucleotides) under uncultured bacterium. RNAcentral's name for it is "bacterial SSU rRNA". It matches the Rfam family "Bacterial small subunit ribosomal RNA", at positions 338 to 790 of the family's 1533-position model. The record is from RNAcentral.